This 440-nucleotide ribosomal RNA is filed under the name uncultured bacterium. Its description in RNAcentral is "partial 16S ribosomal RNA". It matches the Rfam family "Bacterial small subunit ribosomal RNA", at positions 338 to 795 of the family's 1533-position model. The record is from RNAcentral.
CCUACGGGUGGCAGCAGUAGGGAAUAUUGCUCAAUGGGGGAAACCCUGAAGCAGCGACGCCGCGUGGGUGAUGAAGGAUUUCGGAAUGUAAAGUCCUUUGAUUAGAGAAGAUAAUGACGGUAUCUGACGAAGAAGCACCGGCUAACUACGUGCCAGCAGCCGCGGUAAUACGGAGGGUGCAAGCGUUACUCGGAAUCACUGGGCGUAAAGAGAGCGUAGGCGGGAUAGCAAGUCAGAGGUGAAAUCCUGUGGCUGAACCCAAGAACUGCAUUUGAAACUGUUAGUCUAGAGUAUGGGAGAGGGAGGUGGAAUUCUUGGUGUAGAGGUAAAAGACGUAGAGAGUAAGAGGAGUACUCAUUGCAAAGGCGACCUGCUAGAACAUAACUGACGUUGAUGCGCGAAAGCGUGGGGAGCAAACAGGAUUAGAUACCCGGGUAGUC